GACGAACGCUGGCGGCGUGCUUAACACAUGCCAGUCGAACGGAAAGGCCUCUUUCGGGGGGUACUCGAGUGGCGAACGGGUGAGUAACACGUGAGUAACCUGCCCUUGACUUUGGGAUAACUUCAGGAAACUGGGGCUAAUACCGGAUAGGAGCUCCUGCUGCAUGGUGGGGGUUGGAAAGUUUCGGCGGUUGGGGAUGGACUCGCGGCUUAUCAGCUUGUUGGUGGGGUAGUGGCUUACCAAGGCUUUGACGGGUAGCCGGCCUGAGAGGGUGACCGGCCACAUUGGGACUGAGAGACGGCCCAGACUCCUACGGGAGGCAGCAGUGGGGAAUAUUGCACAAGGGGUGGAAGCCUGAUGCAGCAACGCCGUGUGCGGGAUGACGGCCUUCGGGUUGUAAACCGCUUUCGCUCAUGACGAAGCUUUGUGUGACGGUAGUGGGUAAAGAAGCACCGGCUAACUACGUG
Molecule: ribosomal RNA, 467 nt
Filed under: uncultured bacterium
Lineage: Bacteria
Description: partial 16S ribosomal RNA
Rfam family: Bacterial small subunit ribosomal RNA
Source: RNAcentral